GACGAACGCUGGCGGCGUGCUUAACACAUGCAAGUCGAACGGAAAGGCCCUGCUUGCAGGGUGCUCGAGUGGCGAACGGGUGAGUAACACGUGGGUGAUCUGCCCCUUACUUUGGGAUAAGCCUGGGAAACUGGGUCUAAUACUGGAUAGGACCAUGCUGUAGGUGGUGUGGUGGAAAGAUUAGUUUCGGUAAGGGAUGAGCUCGCGGCCUAUCAGCUUGUUGGUGGGGUAAUGGCCUACCAAGGCGUCGACGGGCAGCCGGCCUGAGAGGGUGGACGGCCACAUUGGGACUGAGAUACGGCCCAGACUCCUACGGGAGGCAGCAGUGGGGAAUAUUGCACAAUGGGCGCAAGCCUGAUGCAGCGACGCCGCGUGGGGGAUGACGGCCUUCGGGUUGUAAACUCCUUUCAGCCAUGACGAAGCCCUUGUGGUGACGGUAGUGGUAGAAGAAGCACCGGCUAACUACGUG
RNAcentral lists this ribosomal RNA (469 nucleotides) under uncultured bacterium. Its description in RNAcentral is "partial 16S ribosomal RNA". It matches the Rfam family "Bacterial small subunit ribosomal RNA", at positions 28 to 507 of the family's 1533-position model. The record is from RNAcentral.